This 157-nucleotide ribosomal RNA is filed under the name uncultured bacterium. Its description in RNAcentral is "partial 16S ribosomal RNA". It matches the Rfam family "Bacterial small subunit ribosomal RNA", at positions 355 to 509 of the family's 1533-position model. The record is from RNAcentral.
UGAGGAAUAUUGGUCAAUGGACGAGAGUCUGAACCAGCCAAGUAGCGUGAAGGAUGACUGCCCUAUGGGUUGUAAACUUCUUUUAUAUGGGAAUAAAACGUUCCACGUGUGGGAUUUUGUAUGUACCAUAUGAAUAAGGAUCGGCUAACUCCGUGCC